Molecule: long non-coding RNA, 1920 nt
Filed under: Homo sapiens (human)
Lineage: Eukaryota; Metazoa; Chordata; Mammalia; Primates; Hominidae
Description: long non-coding RNA NONHSAT203379.1
Source: RNAcentral
UAUUCCUACUGUGCUCUCUGAGGAUGUGGAUGCUGUUGAUCUGCGGACCACACUUUGAGAAAUACACAGGUGACAGCUGUGGUGGAAAGAACUCCCAUCCAGGAAUCAAAACAUGUCUUCACAUUUUGGCCAUGGAACUUGGGGGUCUUGCUUUGUUGCUCAGGAUGGAGUACAGUGGUGCAAUCUUGUCUCACUGCAGCAUCGACCUCUGGGGCUUAAGCCAUCCUUGCACUUCAGCCUCCCAAGUAGCUGGUACUACAGGGGAUGCAACAACAAGGCGCCAUCUUGGAAGUAGACACCAGGCCCUCACCAGACACCAAACCUGCUGGUGCCUCGAUCUUCAAUUUCCAGCCUCCAGAGUGGCAUGGUUUCUGGAAGAAAAGACUCAAGAUGUUCUCAGUAGCUGCUGUUUUCAGACAUCAUGAAAGUCUUCUCCUACCCUCUAUAAAAACAAACAAUAAAACUCUACAAAGGAAAAGCCCACAAAAACAUGCUGACUUUAGAAGAAUCCAUGAUUUAGAAUAUUUUUAUAAAUAUCUAAGAAAACAGGAGUCCUUUCCAUAUAUAUGGUCCUUGGAGAUACUUUCCAUAUAUAUGGUCCUUGGAGAAUCCAGUUUUUAUGAGAAAGGUGAUUUCCAAAAUCUCUUACACUUUACAAUUUCAAUUUUGGCCUGAGCAUAUCUCUCGAUUGAUCUACCUACCUACAUACUGAUCUAUCUUGGAUAGAGCACUGGACAAAAGGUAGGCACUGUUUACAAUCCACUGACAAGAAAACACAUGAAGAAGCAAACCCCACAGCGCUCUGAAACCUGGAAGAGAUGGGUUCUACAUGGGUCUGAUGGGAUUACUGUACUAACCAGCCUCCGAAUAUCCCGCUCCGACUCCCACUUGAUCUUCGAGAUGGCUUCUUGGUGGGACUGAUGCUCACUCCGAAGGUCCCCAGCCUUGAUUUUAUCUGCUUGGAUCAUAUUGCUCAGAGCCUCGUCCACCUGCUUCUUGGCCGUUUUCAGGUCCGCAAUUUCCUGUAAGAGCUUAAGGCGCUCUGUGUCAAACAGUUUCCGGGCCUCCUCCCGGGCCUCAAUGGUGAGCGCUGUCCUUACUUUGUCACUGCUGCCGUCGCGGAGAGCACAGAGAGCAGACUUGAGCCUCUGGAUCUCUCCAUCACGUACCUUCACCGUCCUUGACAUUUCCUGCUCGUGCUGCUUGAUAAGGUUCUCCCUCACAGCCUGCAGCUCCUUCAUCUUCUCCUCAUGGAGCUUGGCUUUGAGUUCUGUCACCAGCACCGUGUGCUUGCGCUGCUCCAGCUCACGAAUCCUCUUCGCUUCUUGAGUCUUCUCUCUUUCAAGCUUUGAUACCUAAAAACAGAGAGGCGAAAUGAUGAAGAGAAAUGAGCCUCAAAGGACGGGUGUGCUCCUAGGCAGGAUUUGCAGCUCAGGCCGCUGUGAUCUCUUAAUUCCUCAUCUCUUUUCCAAUUCCAGGCCCUCUGAGAAAAAAGAACUACAGGCCUUGAAGCUGGGAAUACAGUGUGUAAGAGGAGGAAAUACCUGAGGAUAUUUAUAUUACUUUGUUCAGAUGAAUAUUUGAUGUUCUGGGGCCUUACUAUGCAAUGUGUGGUCUGCAGACAAGCAGCCUCGGUAUCACCCAGGAAGCAUGUUAGAAGCACAGAAUCCCUGGCUUAGCCCCAGAUCUAUGACUCAGAAUUUGCAUCUUAACAAAUCCCCAUGUGAUUGGUAUACGCCUUAAAAUUAGAAAGUAUCGCUAUCAUGGUUUUUCCCUUUACGGGGAGGACUGCAAAACAGAUCGCCUGGAGAGCUUUUUAGACUACACAACCCUAGCUAGAUCCAAACUGAUAAAUGUGUGUCUUAGAAUAGCUCACAGUUUGAUAUUGUGAUAAGGCUAAUAAAUUAGUGCCUCAAGUGA